Molecule: ribosomal RNA, 531 nt
Filed under: uncultured bacterium
Lineage: Bacteria
Description: partial 16S ribosomal RNA
Rfam family: Bacterial small subunit ribosomal RNA
Source: RNAcentral
UGGGGAAUAUUGCACAAUGGGCGCAAGCCUGAUGCAGCAACGCCGCGUGAGGGAUGACGGCCUUCGGGUUGUAAACCUCUUUUAGUAGGGAAGAAGCGAAAGUGACGGUACCUGCAGAAAAAGCACCGGCUAACUACGUGCCAGCAGCCGCGGUAAUACGUAGGGUGCGAGCGUUGUCCGGAAUUAUUGGGCGUAAAGAGCUCGUAGGCGGUCUGUCGCGUCUGCUGUGAAAACCCGAGGCUCAACCUCGGGCCUGCAGUGGGUACGGGCAGACUAGAGUGCGGUAGGGGAGAAUGGAAUUCCUGGUGUAGCGGUGGAAUGCGCAGAUAUCAGGAGGAACACCGAUGGCGAAGGCAGUUCUCUGGGCCGUAACUGACGCUGAGGAGCGAAAGCGUGGGGAGCGAACAGGAUUAGAUACCCUGGUAGUCCACGCCGUAAACGUUGGGCGCUAGAUGUGGGGCACCAUUCCACGGUUUCCGUGUCGCAGCUAACGCAUUAAGCGCCCCGCCUGGGGAGUACGGCCGCAAGGCU